This 423-nucleotide ribosomal RNA is filed under the name Elimia modesta. RNAcentral's name for it is "partial 16S ribosomal RNA". The record is from RNAcentral. Lineage: Eukaryota; Metazoa; Mollusca; Gastropoda; Pleuroceridae.
GAGAAAAUAAUUAUAAAAUAUUAAUUAUUUCAUAAAAUAUUUCUCGAUUAAUUUUUUUGAGGAUAAGCUCGAAAAAAAGUUAAGAAAUUUUACUAAUUUAGGUUAUUAUGUGGGCUUAAAAUUGGCCAUCAUAAGAGUUUGUUAUAAAACAAUAAUCUUAAUAUUUAAGAUUAAUAUAUUUUAUUCUAAUUUUUUACAGAAAUAAAGACCUCAAUUAAUAAAUGCCUUAUACCUAUGCUAGGAUGAGUAUUAAAACUUUUUAUAUUCUAAGAAAAUUUUAUGUAUUUUUCUUCAAAAAAAAUAUUGAUUGAAUUAAAUUAGUUAAAAGGAACUCGGCAAAAAAUGCUUUCGCCUGUUUAUCAAAAACAUGGCUCUCUGAAUUCAUUUUUAUAGGGAGUCAGGCCUGCCCAGUGAAUAAUAUUU